This 561-nucleotide ribosomal RNA is filed under the name uncultured bacterium. RNAcentral's name for it is "partial 16S ribosomal RNA". It matches the Rfam family "Bacterial small subunit ribosomal RNA", at positions 376 to 913 of the family's 1533-position model. The record is from RNAcentral.
CGUAGCCUGACGCAGCGACGCCGCGUGAGGGAUGGAGUCCUUNNNGGAUGUAAACCUCUUAAAGGGGACGAUAAUGACGGUACCCUUUGAAUAAGCCACGGCUAACUCCGUGCCAGCAGCCGCGGUAAUACGGAGGUGGCGAGCGUUGUCNNNGAAUCACUNNGGCGUAAAGGGUGUGUAGGCGGUCUGAUGUGUCGGGUGUGAAAUCCUUCGACCUAAUUGGAGAAUGGCAUCCGAAACUAUCGGGCUUGAGGCCAUGAGGGGAGAGUGGAACUCGCGGUGUAGCGGUAGAAUGCGUGGAUAUCGCGAGGAAUGCCGAUGGCGAAGGCGGCUCUCUGGUGUGGUCCUCGUAAGGGGAGCUGAUUAGUCUUUGGAUCAUUGAUUAAUUGGUCCUGACGCUGAAACACGAAAGCUGGNNNAGCAAACGGGAUUAGAUACCCCGGUAGUCCCAGCCCUAAACGAUGUGCACUUGGCAUAUGCUGCUUGGUGUGUGCCGGAGGUAACCCGUUAAGUGCACCGCCUGGGGNCUACGGCCGCNAGGUUGAAACUCAAAGGAAUUGA